GGUAGCGAAAUUCCUUGUCGGGUAAGUUCCGACCUGCACGAAUGGCGUAACGAUGGCCACACUGUCUCCUCCUGAGACUCAGCGAAGUUGAAAUGUUUGUGAAGAUGCAAUCUCCCCGCGGCUAGACGGAAAGACCCCAUGAACCUUUACUGUAGCUUUGCAUUGGACUUUGACGGGACUUGUGUAGGAUAGGUGGGAGGCUAUGAAACCGGGACGCCAGUUCCGGUGGAGCCAUCCUUGAAAUACCACCCUGGUGUCGUCGAGGUUCUAACCCAGGCCUGUGAAUCCAGGUCGGGGACCGUGCAUGGUGGGCAGUUUGACUGGGGCGGUCUCCUCCCAAAAGGUAACGGAGGAGUACGAAGGUCACCUAGGUACGGUCGGACAUCGUACUGAUAGUGCAAUGGCAAAAGGUGGCUUGACUGCGAGACCCACACGUCGAGCAGGUGCGAAAGCAGG
RNAcentral lists this ribosomal RNA (456 nucleotides) under uncultured bacterium. RNAcentral's name for it is "bacterial LSU rRNA". It matches the Rfam family "Bacterial large subunit ribosomal RNA", at positions 1955 to 2409 of the family's 2925-position model. The record is from RNAcentral.